CUGAAUGCGCUCCUCCCCUCUCCUCUGCACGCAGCAGCACCACCGGGCUUCUAGGCCAGCCUGUCCCCUCGCAAUCUCUGCCCAAAUCUAAGUACCCUCAGGCCGCUUUCCCUUCCACCUUCCUUUACACCUGUGCUCCCGGUAAAUCAGAGCCUUGCCCUCACUAGGACAGAAACGACUUCUAAAAGAAAUGGUUUCACUAUCGUGUUGGUGUGUCUGCAUUCUCACGGGAGGCAUGAAACUGUCCUCUGGCUCGCCCGUCCUCACGCAGCUGGCAGGUGGGAACACCAGGUCUUCCAAGAACAGCAGAGAACUAGGGAGAGAAAGCUGAAAAAGAAACAAGACCUUCGUGUUCUCACAUUACAUUAUACUUUCCAGCCCUUUGAAGUCCUGCAACCCUCCGCCAAGUACUUGGCAAAUCCUGAAACACGCAUCUGCGAAGCUGGGGUUUUUCCUUCACAUUACCUUCCACCUACUUUAAAAUAAACCACUCAUUGUUCAAAAGGGAAAA
Molecule: long non-coding RNA, 511 nt
Organism: Canis lupus familiaris (dog)
Lineage: Eukaryota; Metazoa; Chordata; Mammalia; Carnivora; Canidae
Exons: 2
Source: RefSeq, a predicted model, not a curated record